This 113-nucleotide ribosomal RNA is filed under the name Meriones unguiculatus (Mongolian gerbil). Lineage: Eukaryota; Metazoa; Chordata; Mammalia; Rodentia; Muridae. The record is from RNAcentral.
GUCUACAGCCAUACUACCCUAAAUAUGGCUGAUCUUGCCUGAUCUCUGAAGCUAAGCAGCGAUCUGGGCCUGGCUAGUACUUGCAUGGCAGAAAGAUGCAGGCAAUGAACACA